AUGAGCAUUUUUCAUCACGAUAUUUUUUUCUCCCUCAUUCUUGUUUUGGUUUUCGUAUCACGGAUGUUGGUUCGCGAUUUAUGGCAUUUCAACGAGCAAACUAAUCCAAUCCCACAAAGGAUUGUUCAUGGAACUACUAUCGAAAUUAUUCGGACCAUAUUUCCAAGUGUCAUUCUUUUGUUCAUUGCUAUACCAUCGUUUGGUCUUGUGUUGCCAGUACUAAUAAUGGCAUUUGUUGUCUUAUUCGGAGUUCAAGGAAUAGCCUUUCAUCUUGGGAAUGAGAAAGUCGCGGAUCUGAAUGUUAUCGUCAUGACCAAUGCUCCUAACGAGGGUGACUUUCCCAUAGACCAACCUCCCGUUGGCAGACUACCAGACCUCCAGCAGGAAAUGGCGCACGCCGCCCAUCCCGAAGACAUUAUUGCGGAGUUGACUUCCAAGGUUGAAAGAAUAUUUCACGAACUAGGCACGCCUCUUCCUUUAGAGGAGGGUGAAUCUGCGUGA
This 501-nucleotide ribosomal RNA is filed under the name Triticum aestivum (bread wheat). RNAcentral's name for it is "partial small subunit ribosomal RNA". Lineage: Eukaryota; Viridiplantae; Streptophyta; Magnoliopsida; Poales; Poaceae. The record is from RNAcentral.